UGCAACUGCUCAGUGGGUUAGAGCAUAGUGCUAAUGAUGCCAAGGUUGCAGGUUCGAUCCCCGUAUACGACAGCUGCAU
Molecule: non-coding RNA, 79 nt
Organism: Podarcis lilfordi (Lilford's wall lizard)
Lineage: Eukaryota; Metazoa; Chordata; Lepidosauria; Squamata; Lacertidae
Source: the annotation of a GenBank genome assembly